Molecule: ribosomal RNA, 284 nt
Filed under: uncultured bacterium
Lineage: Bacteria
Description: partial 16S ribosomal RNA
Rfam family: Bacterial small subunit ribosomal RNA
Source: RNAcentral
CCUACGGGACGCAGCAGUGAGGAAUAUUGGUCAAUGGGCGCAAGCCUGAACCAGUCAAGUCGCGUGAGGGAAGACGGCCCUACGGGUUGUAAACCUCUUUUGCCGGGGAGCAAGCCUGAGCACGUGUGCCCAGGCGGAGAGUACCCGGAGAAAAAGCAUCGGCUAACUCCGUGCCAGCAGCCGCGGUAAUAUGGAGGAUGCGAGCGUUAUCCGGAUUUAUUGGGUGUAAAGGGUGCGCAGGCGGGCUGUUAAGCCGGAUGUGAAAAUUCAGGGCUCAACCCUGG